Molecule: ribosomal RNA, 253 nt
Filed under: uncultured bacterium
Lineage: Bacteria
Description: partial 16S ribosomal RNA
Rfam family: Bacterial small subunit ribosomal RNA
Source: RNAcentral
UACGUAGGGCGCAAGCGUUAUCCGGAAUUAUUGGGCGUAAAGAGCUCGUAGGCGGUUUGUCGCGUCUGCCGUGAAAGUCCGGGGCUCAACUCCGGAUCUGCGGUGGGUACGGGCAGACUAGAGUGCAGUAGGGGAGACUGGAAUUCCUGGUGUAGCGGUGAAAUGCGCAGAUAUCAGGAGGAACACCGAUGGCGAAGGCAGGUCUCUGGGCUGUAACUGACGCUGAGGCGCGAAAGCGUGGGGAGCAAACAGG